Long non-coding RNA from Vespa mandarinia (Asian giant hornet), 775 nucleotides. Lineage: Eukaryota; Metazoa; Arthropoda; Insecta; Hymenoptera; Vespidae. The record is from RefSeq and is a predicted model, not a curated record.
AUUAUUAGUUCUAAUUUGAAUCACUAUUGACACUUCGAUCUCUUUCUGAUGAAUGGUCGAUAAUGUAGAUUGUGACAUGAAAGUGAUCAUGAGGAUUAAAUAUUCAUGAAACCGAGGAUAAAAGGUUACAUCUUUCAAAUGUACUUAAUUAUUACAUCGUCUAUGUAAUAAUAGUAACUAUGUAAUAAUUGCAGUAAAUAUUAUAUCGAUAUAACCACGCAUUUUAAUCGAAAAGUUUAUGAUUAUAACCUGUCUCUUAUUUCAACAACAGAGAAGCUGAUUAAGAAGCGCUCGGUUUACGAUGUUUGCGGAACAUGUCAGUCUUCCUCCAGUCUCACCAACAUGCGCAUGCACGGUGAGGCUACGUGGGAGGAGCUGAAACAGGCUUCAAGCUACCAAGGGAUCUUGUAUCCGACGCCCCUAUUUAUAUAGAAUUCAGGAUGUCUAUGUAUGCGAAUUGAUGCAGAAGAACGAUGGACAGUCGUAUGACUUCAUCGAAGUAGUAAGCGCAAAACGAAAGGAACUUUGCCCGUGGGACGCUUUGCUGCCUGCUCAUCGAGUUUAGUGUAGACAGCAUAGGAUGAAGAAGCCAGCGAGAAAGAUGAAGUGGCAGUACGUCCUUGAGGCCACGCGCCUCGAGUGCACCGUAGAAGGUGUUUUAUGGGCCCCCAUAAUGGUGCCGGCAGUCCUUAUUCUGUUUCUUCCUCUUAGCUCGUACCUUCUUCACUCGUCUUCUUUUCUACUUUUUUUUUACCUCUCUCUUUCUCUCUCUCUC